Molecule: ribosomal RNA, 114 nt
Filed under: uncultured bacterium
Lineage: Bacteria
Description: partial 16S ribosomal RNA
Rfam family: Bacterial small subunit ribosomal RNA
Source: RNAcentral
CGGUGAAUACGUUCCCGGACCUUGCACACACCGCCCGUCAAGCCAUGGAAGCUGGGUGUACCUAAAGUCGGUAACCGUAAAGAGCCGCCUAGGGUAAAACUAGUGACUGGGGCU